UAUACUUUUAUAUUAUUGAUAUAUCUGCGUGUAUAUAUAUAUGUAUAUAUAUAGAUAUAUAAUAUAUAAACUUUUAUUUAAAUUCAUUUACUUACAUCUAAUAAAACUAUAUAUUUAUCAUACGGUUACAUUGUCACAUUUGAAAAGUACUUGUCUAGAGCAUAGGGAUGUUGGCGUUUCACAGAUUCGUUUCAGAGCGGAAAGAACACUAGUGCGCCUACGUCACUUCCUACUGACUCAGUUCGUCCAUAAACGCCGACGCUCCUUUCAUAGAGACUUCCUUUCUUUUUCUCCUUUUCCCUUUUUUUUUUCUUUUUCUUUUUAACCCCUGGAUAUAGAGACUUUUUAUAUUCUCGCGUCGCGCGACGAAAGGCGCUAAUGCAAAGACGAUGCAUCGCCGCGCAAGCGUGCGAUUAACGUUGAUCAUUUUAUACCCUACAUCGAUUAUACGACAGCGAGAAACAUAAUGAGAAACAAAAAAACCUGUCUCCUACUAUAUACUUAGUCCCCCUAGUCUCUAAAUGAGAAAGCUAGUCGUCAACGCGUACGUGACGUACACACCUCUCAAACUUACUGUCGUUUCGCAGUUAUCUACGAGCCUAUUUGCGCGAACCCGAACUAUACGGUUUUACUUGGGAAAGUAAAAUUUCAGUCAUAAGAGAGAGAAGAUGAUAUAUAGCCGAGCUAGUAUCCGAGAGCUCACUCCUCAAUCGAUUCGUUACUUCCCGUAUAGCGGCUAGUAAUCAUUAUCAUUCCGUCAAUCACACUUUGUGUGUGUGUGUGUAUGUGACGAGAGAAUAUUCGUUUAUAGAGAGUGUCGGAAUUAGUCGAAAAAAAGCGUAUAUCCCUUGAGCAUUGAUAAUCUUUGUCCGUCAUUUUGUAUUUCGCGUCUUGGCGGAAAAGCGCUCGAUCACAUUAUAUAAUCUUCACAAUUGUUGCAUAAGCCAUGUUAUGGAGUUUCAACGUCCGACUGACGUCUCUCGAGUGCAAAGGGUUGAAAUAAUACUUAUUUGUAAAACGCGACAUCAAUAGUGUCAACAUGUGUUCUAUAUCUAUUAUAAAAAAUAAUGAGUUAUUUCUAAUUUAUGCGAGAAUUAUUUGACGAAAAGCAUUCGUAAAGUACGUAAACGAGUGCGAAACUCGACGACGAUGCAAAACACAUUGCACUUUUCGGGUGAUUUAUGUAUAAUAGUAAAAAAAAAAAAAAAAAAAAAAAAAGCAGGAGGCACACUAUUUCUAGAAAACGACAAAGAAGCAUCUUCGAGAUACUUUACGAUACGCCCGACGAUAGAGAACACUAAACGGAAUUUGUUUCACGAAGAAGAAGAAGAAGAAGAAGAAUCGCACAUUCGGGGCAUAUUCGGGGUCUUAAGGCCACUUCGUCGAUCUAAUAUCCUAUGUGAAAGAUCGCGUGAGGGACGAGUUUGCCGCGCGAAAUCUCACAAUUGCAUUAUAGUACGUAUGCGUGCAUGCAAGCUCAUCGCGCGCACGCAUAUGUACGUGUGUAUCUUUUCCGAUUGGAGACGGGAAAAAGUAUAUGAAACGAAAACUUGGAAAAGAGGUACAAUUAAUUUUUACUAUCUCCUAGGAAUUUGUUUCUGUGAAUGCGCAAUCACGUGGUCAGCAAAUGCAAAUGUGGACUUUCUUCUCACACCAUUUCGACUUUUUUUCUUUCUCUCUCGUUUUCUUUCACUCUUUCGUUUCUCACACAUUCUCUCUUUCUCUCACUCUCUGUAUUCUUCUCAUACGGAUAAAAAUAUUAAGGCAAAAUAUUCAUAACUUACACAUAAAGGACGUUUGAUUAUGUUCGUUAGAUGUCUCUCUCGUUUAAGAGUUACAGUUGUUAUUAAAAAUACUCGCCACUUUAGUUUACCAUUAUGAGAUUAGUAACUUAGCGCCUAAGUGUUAGCCUUAUCGUUACUUAAAUAACGUUCACGCCUUAAAAAAGUCAUUGGAUUGAAUGCGUUAGCUUGUCAGUUAUCAAGCUUCGCAAAUUUCUUUUUGUUCUUUUCUUUUUUUUCUUCCAUUUUCUUCUUCACUCUCGCACCUUCCUACGUACUAUGUGCCUUCGUGCUCUUCGUCUAUCAUCGUUCAUCGCGAAUACCGUAAAGCUCCUCGAAACGCGAUUAACGCGAUUAAAUUAAAAUCCGGAUUAAAUAAAACCGCGUUACUCAAUUGAUAUUCAGUUCUGCACCGUAUGCACUGGCAUUUUUUAUUACUAGCGUAACGUGGAAAAAAAAAUGAAUUGAAAUGCAAGUCUCAUCUCCAUUUAUAUACCGAGCAAAAUUCGACUUUUGUCUAUCUAAAAUUGCAAUCGCAACUCUGUUUGAUCGUGCUGCUUUUGUGGCUCGUUUGACUCCGUCGCGUUAUUUUCCGCGUUCUAUGGUUAACCUUUGUUGACCCUGUACACUCGAGGUGGCUCAGUCGACCGGGGAAAUUCAGGGCGACGUGUUCGUCGAGAGCGAGAAAGCUUUCACCGUCACCCACGCGAAGCACGACGUGGAUUCGAGUCAAAAGCAGCUCGAAAUUCCUUCGAGCAAGAGAAAUAAUUUUUCGCCGUAAUAACCCUUCCGUUCACGGUGUCACGUACAGAUCCACGGAAUCCGCAAGGAUGGGUAUUAUUCAUAUUUUCCGUGUACGUGUAUGCGAACACCCAUGCAAAUUCUGGUCGAUAAAUAAUAUCGGAAAGAAUGUUCAGCACAAUAUAAUUUGUACAUACUGAUGUAUAUAAAAAUGUUGCAUGGUGCAUUGCACUGCGUUUCAGAAAAUGAGAUAUGUUAAUAGCAUAUGUUCCUACUUUUAAUAUGUCAUGUUAUCCUGAAAAAUAAUAUUUGUGUUAAUUGUAACGCUGUUUUCAAGUCUGUAAUCGGUCCGGUUUUUUUUUUUUUUUUUUUGUUACAUAUUUGUAUUACUGAUUGAUAUUUACGAUUUUUGUAAAUUUUACUUUGUUUACUUUAUAUUCGAAUAAUGUUUUAUUAAUGUAGAAACGCGAUAAAAUUUUGCAUAUAUAAAAUAAAAAAGUACAAACAAAUAAUUGAUCAUUUUUUCUAUUUGAGUUCUGUACGGGUAUUUAAUUUAAAAAAAAUUGACUAGUAUAUAUAAUGAUUUUUUAAAAAACAUCCCAGAGUUUUUAAUCUUUUAAUCCAAUCAUCCUAUCGAUAAUCGACAACCUAGGUAAACGAUCAUCGAAAGAAGAGUAAAAUCUAAAGAAGAAAGAUUUCUGUGAGAUCUAAUCAGAUGUCAAAUACCAUUAUUAUACCAUUUUUUUUUUUUUAUAUGUAAUACCAUUAUAAUACCGUUAUAAUAACCAUGUCAAAUAUAGUUUUCGCUCGACACCUGUCGAGAUGUCAAUUUCAUACACGAUAGAAAUGCUCAUGGAAAUCAUUCCCGAGAUAUCAGAGAAUGAGCCGUCAAUAUCGGGCGUCUUUUAGUUAUAAUUUCGAUAAUUCGUAAUUAUUCAUGUUUUAAUAUGUCAAUCUCGCUCCGAAUCAACGAGAACACUUGAAAUUCACGAUAAUUCUUAUAUUUAAUAAAUCGAGAUUAAGUCAAUCGUGUCGAUAAUGUUUAUGAAGAAACGAAUGAUAUUAUUACGGAAACUUAAUCGGUAAGUAAAGUCAAGAUCGACUGUAUAUACGUUAUCACAAAGCACUUUCCCGUUUCUCAACGCUUUUCGCGAUGUUCAAGAUACGCGAACACAUCGCGUCUCUCAUCUUUUUAGAAGAAUGUUUUUUUUUCUCUUUUUCUUUUUUUUAUUUUCCUUAGAAGAAGCACCGACUAGGUAGAGCGAUAUUACGUUCUCGAACUUCACCGUCUAGAGAUUAGAAUACGAUCGAAAAAUAUGUGCGAAUUGAUAUUGAGAUUUUUUUAUAUUAUUGAUCCCUCGUAAGUGCGCUCGCGAUCGAUCUUACGAAGUCGCCGGCCAUUUAUAAUUCGGUCGUCGCGAUUUUUCUACGUCUUGAAAAAAGGACGCUCGAUUUAAUCCUUCGAAGAGCAAUGAUUAAUAUCGAGCGAGUUGGAGAGAGCCGACAAACUCUUUCAGGUCACAGUCGAAAAGAACGCGAUUUACAGUCCCGUGGCUAUCGAUUGGUAUUGGACAGUAUUUAUAUCGCGUAUGUGUGAUAAAUACAGUGGUACACGUCCCAUACCCGCCAAGAUAAUACUUUAAUAUGAGAUACAAAAAUUCAAUCAGGUAUUUUUCCAUCCAUUCGAUAAUUAGAUUCUUUCAUCUACUUCUGCCAAAAAUUUCGUUUCUAUACUGCGCGAAUUAAUGUAGCAAAGCUUAAAUCUAAUCGCAGAUAAACCCUAGGAGAGUACAGAAUACAGAAAUACACCGCUAUAUCUCCGUGCUUGUCACGUGUAUAUUGCACAUUUAUCGUCGUUAUAUCGUUAUAGACAAUGCUGCUUAUAAUCGGUUCCAAUACAUUAUCGUACGAAUCACAAGGAAAUGAGGACUAAAGGCCUAAAAUAGUUUCGUGUAAUCACUAGAAAUCAAGACUGUCACGGAUUCAACUUAUCGUCACGCUCAAUUAAUCCUUAAUCGGCAUGAACUUAUAAGAAUCUACUUAGCGCAAUUAAUCAAAAAUUGAUCACGCUGUUGGUGUGUGGGAAAAUGCAUUUUUCAUUUAAUUUUCUUCGUGAGAUCUUCGAAAUUUCAUGUCCAAUACUCUUUACGUUAUCAGCAUACUGGAGAGAGAAGUGCCUUCGCGCAGCAUCAGUUAAAGAUUAAAUAGUUAAUUAACAGCGAGGAACGAGAGAAGAGAUGACUGGAAACAAGAGACUCCUGUCCCUCUCUCUACAUAAAGGCGACAAUAUCGGGUCGACUCCUUCACGAUCGAACGCGCAUAGAGACGCUCGAUAUCCCUCUCGAGGCUUUCGUCUCGAGGUCGCAAGAACACAGAGAGAAUCGCCGAGCGAAAUUUGUACAGACCAGCGACGAGAGAGAGUGGCUAUUACUAGAUGAAAACCCUGCGAAAAGCUGCGAACGGUACUCGCGAAAAUCGAUGACUAGGUGUGUGUAUCCGCGACUUUGUUCGCGAUCGGAACGCGAGCGUGGUCAGUCUCGAUAUUCCGGAGACACGUUCACACAAAUUUUCUCCUCCCUUUCAUCCAUGUGAUCACCCCUCCCCUUCAGUCUUGCUAGAUCGUCCAUUAAUCUGGGAUGCCUCUUAGACAGUUGUGUGUGGCACUUAGUAGAGACAGUCUUCUACGACUUUUUUAAAAUAAACGGAGCUAACGUACAAGGAGAGGGAGUUAUCCAGAAGAGCGCGAGCGAAACCAAGCAAAGUCCUUCAAGAUAUAAUCACUUCGCGCUGCGGAUGUUGCCUUUCGAGAGAUUCUCGGCUGCAAAACCGAAAAAUUAACCGUCUAUAACCCGGACGACUUCUGGAAAAGAUGAACUCCCCCUAUAUAUUUUCAUAUUGUAUGGAAAAUUCUCUACAUACAUAUAUAUCAUAAGUUUAUAAAUAUUAUUAAGUUUUAUUACGUUUUUUAGUUUAAUUACAGCAAUACAUUACGGUAUCACUAAUUUUUCCGUUACAAGUAUCGUUUACACUGAUAUCAGGGUUAUAGAAGGUUAAUCAUUGAGCGUGCCUGCUGAAUCCUGGCGGUUGCAUUAUCCUAAAAAUAGUCUGCUUACUUUCUAUAAAAGUAUUAUUUGUGCUCUAUCGAUGAACUCAAGAGAUCGCUCUCUCUUGAAUCGAAUACGUCGACAAAAUAAAGAUGUAGUAAUCGUCGAGCGCAUCUUACAGGCAAAACCCGUCAUUUUGAGGAGGCUGAUCCCGUUUCGUAAGAAAAUAAGCAAAAUUGUGGCUUUUUAUACAGCGCUUCGGAGAUAGGCAAAGCGUUGUUCCGAGAAAAAAGAAUAAUGAAGAAACUCUCGCUAAUCUAUAAUUUAUCCUAAACUAGAGCUGGUUUUUUGUACUUAACGAUUACGAGAGCUUAAAUAGCGCCAUUUCAAGUAAUAGCAAAGUGAAAAUAGUGCUUGCAUAUACCGGAAACGCGAGCGAAUCACGGCGAUGUAAGUAUAGCGGCAAUAAUUAGCAAUAGUAAUGAUGGCGUAGAAGAGCAGCAGAAUAGUUUAGUAAUAACCGUAUAAUAGUAAUAAUAACAAUAUAGUAUAACGGUAGUAAUAUUAUUAGUACGGAUAAUAAAGAGUAAUGGUGAUAUAGUUUAGUAACACAGCAGCGACAGUGUAAUACCAAUAGUAUUAGCAAUGAUAGUAAUAGUACAGCGUGUCGUGUGUUAAUAAAAAAUAAUGACCAUAGUAGCAACGUUUCAAUUCCGUAAUGAAUGUCUUUCACGGUAGAUUUUGAGAUUACGGGAUAUGAACACAGAAAUUCAUGGAAAUAUACAAAGUAAAUACCCUAUUUUGAUAUUUUAUCCGAUAUGCUCGAAAUUAUUUUACAGAAAUCUCCUACAUGUGCAAAAUAUAUUUCUGCGUGUUGUUUUUCUGACUUUCAUGUUUUAAAAAUGCAUUGUUUUAGUAUGACACAAUUUUCAAAACAAUAUUUAUAUCAUAUAUUAUACUUUUAAGCUAUUUAAAGAAUUAAAUUUGAAAUAAUCCCGAGAUAUAUAAUUAAAACAUUAUCUAUACAUAUAAGAUAUCACCGAUAACUUGAAAAAAAAAAGAGAAUGCGUUGCAAUUGAUGGUCAAAUAUUUUGCCAAAGUACUACAUGAAAAAAAAAGAUAGAAAAAAAUAAGUAAAAUCGUGAAUAUCAAGAGCAGCCAUUGACGUAUAGAAAGACUAUUAUAAAUGGUGUUGACUUCGAUCAAUGAUAAUUCGAUAACAAUCGUAGCGCAUUACGGGCAGACAAAUUUAUUGCGCGAUAUUACGGACCAUCGUAUGAGAGUUAUACUUCGUCCAAGACAUGUAUCUCGUCGAGAUGUAAAUUGUGCGCGUGUGCAGCACGCGCGGACGUCACUUCCGGACCAUUAUUGUCGGUAACGGUAUUAGAUCGUAAUUCACCUUCUUUUUCUCGAGAUCCAGGACGCGCAAAUUGGCAAGACUUCGGUUUAAUUAAUUGGCGUCGAUCGGCGUGUUCGCGUUUAAUAAAUUCGAUCAGUCGCGCGCGAUAUUGCCUCCGAAGCGGAUUGUGUCAAUUUUCGGAAAGUAAUCACCGUUAGAGGUUUACGUUAAAUUACAUAUAGACAGCCAUUAGAUUACAUAAAGUGCUAAAUUAGACAGCCAUUAUUGCUAACAUUAUUAUUAUUACUAUAAUAAUACUUAUUAUUUAGUAUUAGUGUUAUUAUUAUAUUUAUUACUGAGGAUCAAUAGACGUUUUCGAUCGACGAACUCUCGAGAUUAUCUUAACGAUUUAAUAGAUACACAACGAGACCGCCUUGAUAACGUUUACGGGCACUUACAGAUUGCAUCGAGAUUGUUAUUACGGAACACAAAGUAUAAUUAUCGAAGACAGUAAAUAAUUAUACUAAUAAGCGAUAAACUAACUAGAAUUGAUGCGAUUAGUAUUGUUAUUGAUAUCAUAAAAUAUAGAGUCGCGCGUAUAUUCGUCGAUCUCACCAACGCGAUGUAGUCGAAUAAAUAAGUAAAUAGUAGAAAUAUAUAUAUAUCAAUAAGUGUAUUUCAGUAUGCACAGGAAAUUCUCGUUUUUUUUUUUUAAUACGAAGCGUGUUAUCGCUUUUAUAAGCGUUCAAUCUUAUCGUUUCACAUUUUAUUCAAUGUCACAUUAGAACAUUAUCAAUUUUCCCUUCGCGCGAAGCUACAAACUUAAAAAUCUUAUCUAAAAACAAGGAAAUCAAUAAUAAUAAAGUGAAAUACGUUAUAACGCGCGCGGUAACGGUAGAAUGAUAAUACACUGAAUCGUUCCACUAUCGUCAAACAUCUUAUUGCAUUGAAGAUAAAGCCUCGCUUAUAUACUGAGCUUGAAAUAAAAAUUAAUUAGAAUUCAAUCAUAUUUAAAUUGGCAAUUAUUAAAUGUUACUUUUAGGUAAAUGUUGUUUCUUAGGUCGAUAGAGAUAUGAAUGUUUUUUUACCGUAUGAUUAUUUUAAAAUGUACCAUUUCCUUACAUAAUUUGUAAAAACAAGAUAUCAGGCAUUUUUUCUAAGCUGUUUAUAAAAAUAAAAGUUGAGUGCAAAUUGUCAAUGAAAACGCAGAAUAAAUAAAAUCACAUAUGAAUUUAUAGCUUAAUAUCGAGAAACAGGAAUCUUUUAUCAUAAUUUUAAUCAAUUCACUCGAAGAAUUUGAAUCUCCGAACGGAAGUCUUAAAAAUAAUUCAAAGACGUCGAGAAUCAAAAAUAAAAUUUUGUCUUUUCUUAUAUCUUAAUAUCGAAACAGGUCAUUAGUUCUCAGUCAAGGGAGAUUACUCGCACUUUCAAGAGAAGGAAUCUUAAAAAUAAUUUAAAAUCGCGAGGUAAAAGUAACAUUUUGUUAAAAAGAGUAUUCUUACGAAAAAUAAGAUGCCCCCAAAUAAAUACAUAAAUAUUUUCCGAUUAUUAUCGUUAAAAUUGAUUAAUCGCUAUAUAGAACCUACCACGAUCUUAAUAUAUUUUCAGUUGAUAGUUUUAAUUUAAUAUCACGUCACAUUUUAAUACGUAUCGCUUGAAUUUUGGUUUCAUUUUUUCGGUCCUAUAUUUCGUUCGAAACGAAUAUCGUUCGAUAAGUCCUUCGAUAAAGCGCGAAACGUUACUUGAAAAGAAAGAUCAAUCGGAGCCACGCUCUGCGCAUUCUGUCGACGCAUUCUAAAUUUCGAUUUUUAAGGAACAGGAGUGAGAUAUUAACUAGCACGCAACAAAUAUCACCCCUCUCGUUCCGAGAAGACACACCGACGGCAUGUUCUCGAUAUAAGAACGAAUUGCGAGAGGAAAUCCCAGAUGAUCUAGGUCGCUGUAUCAACGAGGAUUAAAGUGCGGAGAAACGGAGAGAAUUAUAUCGAUAAUCAAGGCAGACUCGGCAGACGCGCGAUGGCGAAAAACUAUGACGACUAACAAAGCACUACAAACUACGAUAGAGCGAUAUUAUACGGUUACACACAGUAGAAAAAUAAGUAUGAACGCUUACGGACUAAGAUGGCAUGUGAUACACUUGUAAUUUUGCAGACUAUUCUCGUUUCCGGGAGCGACAGCCGUUUAAAUUCUUUUUCCUUUUCCUUUUCUUUUUGGGGGGAAUUAGGCUGAAGACACCACCCCCGGUUAAUACGAACGAAACGAGGUAAAGGCAGGAGAGUAAGGGGGACGGGCAAAGAGUACUGUCUCAAUCUACAGCGGAAAAAUCGUCCCCGAUGGUCGAUGACUAUGACGUGUUUCACUGGCGCGAUAAUGUUUCAAAGGAAUAAUCGAGGGAUUUCGCGUCGAUGCGCGAAACCCCGAAUGAGGCGCGUGAAAUCCCCGUUAAUGAAUGCUGGAUAUACAUAGAUUGCUGUAAAUAUACGUUUGUGUUGUACGAAAAGAUUUAUCGAGAUACUUAAUAAAACCCUUACCACCGGUUUCAGGUACAUCAAAACACAGCAGAAUGCAGCUAACUCUAGUAAAAACGACGUAAUAAAAAUUGAAUAGCAUAGUGCGUAAAAAAUGAAAUAAGCAGCAUCACAUCCGUAGAAGCGCGCUGCUGCAAUUAAGAGUAAAAUCUAAAAUUAACGUACUUAUUCGCGUGGGAAAGAGGGAUAGGGGAAAGGUGGAAGGUGCGCGAAUAAAAUAGUACUAUUUCGCGUAAAACGCGCACGUACUCAGGAUUAAUGCAAAAAUACAUAGCAGAAUGACUGAUUUCAUCGGCCGUCACAAAGCGUUUCGGCGCGUAUCGAAUGAAGUCUCAAGAACAGAAGAUGAAUGAAAAAUUGCAAGUAAUCCUGACUUGCGGUCAUAUGUGUGUCCCAAUAACAUCCACGAUCGUACGAUUAGAUAUCUCGAGAUAUCAAGAUGAUACUUCAUUCAGCGGUAUAUUAAACAUGAACACUAUAGAGCAUACACAGACGAGCGUUAAACUUACGCGAAUCACGGAUAUGUAUAACUAGAAUAAGAUUUGUAUAACUAAAGUGCGUUUAAGAUUAUAACUUACAUCCUUAUAGAUUUGAGAUUGAGUGGAACAGAAGAUCGCGCGCGCGAGAGCCCUUCUUUUACAACCUUCCACGCGAGAGCGUAGUACUUUUGCCCGACGAAUGAAAAGAAGAUUAGAAAGGGGGAGAAGGGAAGGGAGGGGGGAAGAACGAACGGAGAUAAAGUCUAUAGAAGACGCAUCCCUUUGGAUUUCACGAUAGUUCCCCGAAGAGUCUACUCUAAAACGCGAAAUCUUAUUGUACGCGCAUCUUCGAUUUCGCACAUUUUUGGUCGUUUUCCCUAUAACUCGCUUAUUUUUUUUUUUUUUUUUUUUUUUUUUUUUUUUUUUUUUUUUUUUUUUUUUUUUUCUUCUUUUGCAUUUUUCUCUUUUGUUGAUUUAUCCGCAAGACCUCCAAACACGUACACAUUCCCGAAUUAUCCCUUACGUAUGUAGAAUUUCUCCUUAAAUCUCUAUAUUAUAGAUACCUUAAGAACUACGCGAAAAAAAGGACAAACGCCAACUAUACUCGUUAGAAUGAACGUCUGUCUUAUCGGACAAGACACGAGAAUAUCACAUUGCAGAUGUAUAUGUAUGUGUAUGUGUGUGGGUUAUAUAUAUAUGUUAAUUCUUCCUUUUUUAACCUUAAUAACUUCGUGGCUUAAGAGCUAAGGAGUUCUUAUAUCGAGUUUUACACUUUACGACGACAAUGGGCGUGAGCAUACGAUGUGUGCGUAUAUACGUACAUACAUACGGAAUACCAAUCUUUUUCUUUUUCUUUCUUUAAUUUUUCAAUCAAGAUCGAUCACUUCGCAUUUUGAUAUUCAUCUCGAUAAUCGCAACGAGAAUAAAACGCAGCACGGAGAUUAUGCAACGAAGUGUACGAGGACGAAGAAUUGGAGCACCGGAUUUUUCAAUUUGACAGUUCGCACGCGUAUAUAUCUCCCGCUUUAAAGAUAUUAUUACUAUGUUGGUGUGUGUUAUAACUAUCGAGAGAAGAAUAAAUAAAGCUAGAAAAUUGUGGAGUUAUAUCGUAGACAUAAUAACAAUGUAUGCAAUUAAAUUAUAUUUAUUACAACGAAUUUAAGUCUUCGAAUUUUACUCUUUAUUGCCCUUUUAUUUUCUACUAGCAUUCUGUUAGAACACGUACUCCGAAUACCUAUCCACGUACGAAGCAUCUGGAAUAAUAUUUUACGCGCGUAUUCUUUUUUGCGAGAGUGAGAGAUCGCAGUGACUCUCUCUCUUUCUUUCUCUCUCUCUCUCUUUCUGAUUUUCUUUUUCAUUAUCCAAAUAAUAUAUCGAAGAUACCGGAAAAAAAUCGAUCCAUCGGUUAAUCGCGAUCUGUAAUUCUGUAAAUUUCUAUAGACUGGAUACUUCUGCGAUUUUCUUUGUGACAGACUUAUGAUAGACCGAGCGAUGGAUUCUCAUAUUUUCACUGAAAGAACGAUUUCGCGUUCUAUGUUUCUUUCUUAAUAUCCCUUGUCAGAGAUGACAGUUGUAAGCCAAAUUAUGGCUGUUUCGUGUACACGCAUGAAAAGAUAAAAUAAAAAAAAAGAAAACAAUAACUUAGUCUAAAGCGUUUAUUUUCUUUUAUAGACCAGAAGGAUAUGUAGGAUAUGUAGUUUUUGAACGACUUGUAAUGUCGAUCGUAUUUGGAUAUUGAUACAAGAGAACUGACUAUCAUUUUUCAAUUAUGAACGCUCAUCCCGCUGUACAAGAAAUUUUGUAUUAAUAACUUUUCUUCUUUUAAUACAUCCGCAGGAUAUUCAGUCUAUAAGACUCAACUUUAAUUACAAUAAUGGCAUACACGCUUCGCAAUAAAACUUCGUUUUGUGCGAGAGGAAUUGACUCUUAUGGAUAUUUUCUUUUGCGUGCGCCAGUGUAUGUGUGAGAUUAAAUAUCGCAUUACGUAAGAUUGAAUCAUUUCAAUAAACCGCAGAUUAAUUAGCUACCAUUGAUCCUUGAAGGAUCAAUAAAAGCUACUUUGGCCUAAUAAUAUUUCACUAGAAAUUAUUUCUCGAUAUCAUAUAUAAACAUAAAAGCCGAUAAAUAUUUUAUUAUUUGCAAAAUAUAAUUUAAAUAAAACGUAUUAUAAGCGUUUCUAAAGUAACUAUAACAAACAUAUUCUGAACGAGAUUAAUUUCUUUCUUUAUAUAGCUAAUUAAAGUUCAUUGUUUUAAAAUGCUUAAUAUCAAAGUCUUUGCAGCGGUGAUAUAACACUUUAUCCGAUUUUUAAUACAAUCAUUUUACGUGGACCCGUAAUACAGCCAAUUUUUUCUUUCCAAACUAUUUUAAAAUUUCCUCUGUUUCAAAUCAACCUGCUUUUCUUCCAAACAAAAUUCUUUUGCUAUACUGUUUCCCAUUAUUCACAGUCACACGACUAUCGCGUUAGUGAAUAAGUGACAAAACGCACGACAUUUUUAUUCUCUGCAUACAAAUAUCACUGAAAUAAGAAUCGUUAUGUUCAGAAAAAAUUUUCGAAUAAAGGAAAUAAUCGACGAGUUCGGAAUAGAGAAAAUCGAUUGUAUAUUAAAAUUGGCAUGUUACAACUAUUAAGAAUAUAUAAUAAAUAUAUAAUUCUCUCUCUCUCUUACAAGCUCGCACUUGAAAUCGGCACAAACUCGGUCCUAAUAUUUAUAUACGAUCCAUAUACACUACUGCCUAAUAACUGUUUAAUAGACAAAUAAUCCCGAUCUCGAAAAUGCUUGGUUCUAAAAUGUUAUUCCCACACAGUUAUUCGCAUACAAAAUAAAUAUCCAGAUUUAUAAUUUGUUUUUUUUUUUU
Formica exsecta is the source of this 12771-nucleotide long non-coding RNA. RefSeq lists it as uncharacterized. Lineage: Eukaryota; Metazoa; Arthropoda; Insecta; Hymenoptera; Formicidae. The record is from RefSeq and is a predicted model, not a curated record. The transcript is spliced from 2 exons.